This 591-nucleotide unclassified non-coding RNA is filed under the name Hevea brasiliensis (rubber tree). The record is from RNAcentral. Lineage: Eukaryota; Viridiplantae; Streptophyta; Magnoliopsida; Malpighiales; Euphorbiaceae.
UCAGCAAUAGCUUGAAAUGCUUUUGACAUCUCUUCUCUUUCCUUCAUCUCCCUCUUUGAUAUCUCCUCACUUUCCUUUACCUCAGCCUUAGAAGUUCCUUCAAGUUCCUUCAAUUCCACAGGCUUCUCUUUGCUUGCUGGGUUUUCCAAAACCAAGACCUUGGACUUAUCCUUCACACCUGCCUCAUGCAAAUAUUCCCGAUCCUCUUUUUCUUGCCCCCUAAACAAAAUCUUUUGCUGUUUAGGCUCCAGACCCGUUUUUGAUUCAAUAACUUCUUUCAUAUAGCGGGAACAUGGAUUUCAUACUGGGAGGGACCAUGAGAAACGUUGAUCUUGAUCAAGGGUCCAGCAUCAGCAGCAGCAGCAGCUGAAUCUCGUCUUUGGACAAGCAUGCCACCUGGCCUGGCCUCCCAAUCUUCAUUCAAAUUCUUCAUCGGAUCUGAAAUUAGAGUUGGUGCAUGAAAAUGUAGACUACUUUUGCCUACCACCAAAUCAAGUAGAUGGAUUUCUGAGGGAUCCCUGGCUGCAAAUACAAUUUAUCCUCUUUUUUUCUUUUUAAAUAUAAUUUUUAUCAGUUCUUAGAGAAACGGUU